Molecule: ribosomal RNA, 253 nt
Filed under: uncultured bacterium
Lineage: Bacteria
Description: partial 16S ribosomal RNA
Rfam family: Bacterial small subunit ribosomal RNA
Source: RNAcentral
UACGUAGGGAGCAAGCGUUGUCCGGAAUCAUUGGGCGUAAAGCGCGCGUAGGUGGCCUCAUAAGUCCGCUGUGAAAGUCAAAGGCUCAACCUUUGAAAGCCGGUGGAUACUGUGAGGCUAGAGUACGGAAGAGGCGAGUGGAAUUCUUGGUGUAGCGGUGAAAUGCGUAGAUAUCAAGAGGAACACCUGCGGCGAAGGCGGGUUGCUGGGCCGACACUGACGCUGAGGCGCGAAAGCCAGGGGAGCGAACGGG